GUGGUGCUGUCUCCUUGCUGGCUUUAUGGCCCGAAUGGUGCAGACUUGUGUUCCUGGCACUCAGAGGCGGAGGCGGAAGGACAGCGAACUGGGGGACCGCCUGGGCUAGAGAGAAGCUCCAUAAGCAGGAAAGUAAACUACUCAAACUAGCUUCAGGUGGUCCCUGAAACCAGCCAGUCUCACUGGUCCACUCCUUGCCAGAGUAAGCAAUAGAAGCUGAGAGAUGGAAGGAAGUCGAGCUGCAAAGAAGACUCUGAGACCAGAGCAGCUGCCUAGAAGAAGAAGAGGAAGAGGUCUAGACAGCUGAGGAGCCUGUCCAACCUGUUGAGCUGCCCGCAGGCUGUGCAGUGAGCUCCAGGUACCCGGCUUUUG
Molecule: long non-coding RNA, 372 nt
Organism: Arvicola amphibius (Eurasian water vole)
Lineage: Eukaryota; Metazoa; Chordata; Mammalia; Rodentia; Cricetidae
Exons: 3
Source: RefSeq, a predicted model, not a curated record